AAUAUUGGACAAUGGGGGCAACCCUGAUCCAGCCAUGCCGCGUGUGUGAAGAAGGUCUUCGGAUUGUAAAGCACUUUAAGUUGGGAGGAAGGGCUCUAGGUUAAUACCCUGAAGAAUUGACGUUACCAACCGAAUACGAACCGGCUAACUAUGUCGCAGCAGCCGCGGUAAUACAGAGGGUGAUAGCGUUAAUUGGAAUUACUGGGCGUAAAGCACACGUAGGUGGUUCAGUAAGAUGGGUGUUAAAUCCCCGGGCUUAACCUGGGAACUGCUUUCAUAACUGCUGAGCUAGAGUACGGUAGAGGGUAGUGGAAUUUCCUGUGUAGCGGUGAAAUGCGUAGAUAUAGGAAGGAACACCAGUGGCGAAGGCGACUACCUGGACUGAUACUGACACUGAGGUGCGAAAGCGUGGGGAGCAAACA
Molecule: ribosomal RNA, 422 nt
Filed under: uncultured bacterium
Lineage: Bacteria
Description: partial 16S ribosomal RNA
Rfam family: Bacterial small subunit ribosomal RNA
Source: RNAcentral